GUGGCUAUAGCUCAAUGGUAGAGCACCUGGUUGUGGCCCAGGAGGCUACGGGUUCGAGCCCCGUUAGCCACC
This 72-nucleotide transfer RNA is filed under the name Chloroflexota bacterium. RNAcentral's name for it is "Chloroflexi bacterium (marine sediment metagenome) tRNA-His". It matches the Rfam family "tRNA". From Rfam's summary of the family: Transfer RNA (tRNA) molecules are approximately 80 nucleotides in length. Their secondary structure includes four short double-helical elements and three loops (D, anti-codon, and T loops). RNAcentral also lists the same sequence under 2 other names. The record is from RNAcentral. Lineage: Bacteria; Bacillati; Chloroflexota.